GAGGGUAUAGCUCAGUGGUAGAAUGCCUGCUUAGCAUGCAUGACGUCCUGGGUUCAUUCCCCACUACUUUCA
This 72-nucleotide transfer RNA is filed under the name Camelus ferus (Wild Bactrian camel). It matches the Rfam family "tRNA". Rfam says of the family: Transfer RNA (tRNA) molecules are approximately 80 nucleotides in length. Their secondary structure includes four short double-helical elements and three loops (D, anti-codon, and T loops). Lineage: Eukaryota; Metazoa; Chordata; Mammalia; Artiodactyla; Camelidae. The record is from Rfam by way of RNAcentral.